UGGGGGAUUUUGGACAAUGGGGGCAACCCUGAUCCAGCAAUGCCGCGUGUGUGAAGAAGGCCUUCGGGUUGUAAAGCACUUUUGUCCGGAAAGAAAUGGCGCUGGUUAAUACCUGGCGUCGAUGACGGUACCGGAAGAAUAAGCACCGGCUAACUACGUGCCAGCAGCCGCGGUAAUACGUAGGGUGCGAGCGUUAAUCGGAAUUACUGGGCGUAAAGCGUGCGCAGGCGGUUUUGUAAGACAGGCGUGAAAUCCCCGAGCUCAACUUGGGAAUUGCGCUUGUGACUGCAAGGCUAGAGUAUGUCAGAGGGGGGUAGAAUUCCACGUGUAGCAGUGAAAUGCGUAGAGAUGUGGAGGAAUACCGAUGGCGAAAGCAGCCCCCUGGGACGUCACUGACGCUCAUGCACGAAAGCGUGGGGAGCAAACA
RNAcentral lists this ribosomal RNA (427 nucleotides) under uncultured Cupriavidus sp. RNAcentral's name for it is "bacterial SSU rRNA". It matches the Rfam family "Bacterial small subunit ribosomal RNA", at positions 355 to 774 of the family's 1533-position model. Lineage: Bacteria; Pseudomonadati; Pseudomonadota; Betaproteobacteria; Burkholderiales; Burkholderiaceae. The record is from RNAcentral.